UGCUUCGCGAACUAUGUACUGUCCUCCAGGCACCACAGACAGUGAAGACUGGCAAGGCAACCGAACAGAUGGGAGCUGGAGAAGCGAUGGUGUAGUCAACGGUGCACUGGCUACAUUACCCGGCACAGGUUGCAACUCGGCAAGGCUUGCUUGUGCCAUUCGCGAUAAGCUGUGCAGACAUUUCAUAACAGAGGACAGGCUGCCAUGGCAGGUGAAACAUGUGAAAGACUGCAGAUGGUAACCAGACAACACUGCCAGUCGUUGCAGCUCGACGACCACUUCUCUCGGAUGAGCUGCUGCCACACCUCUCCAGGUUCACUGCAUCAUCUUCAAAGAUGUCGUUGCACAAAAACUCGUCUUCGACUUCGUCUUUGCUUGUGGCAAG
This is a long non-coding RNA of Dermacentor silvarum, 385 nucleotides long. RefSeq lists it as uncharacterized. The record is from RefSeq and is a predicted model, not a curated record. The transcript has 3 exons. NCBI's taxonomy places the organism in Eukaryota, Metazoa, Arthropoda, Arachnida, Ixodida, Ixodidae.